GACGAACGCUGGCGGCGCGCCUAACACAUGCAAGUCGAACGGAGCUGAGAGAAGCUUGCUUUUCUUAGCUUAGUGGCGAACGGGUGAGUAACGCGUGAGUAACCUGCCCUGGAGUGGGGGACAACAGUUGGAAACGACUGCUAAUACCGCAUAAGCCCACGAUCCGGCAUCGGAUUGAGGGAAAAGGAUUUAUUCGCUUCAGGAUGGACUCGCGUCCAAUUAGCUAGUUGGUGAGGUAACGGCCCACCAAGGCGACGAUUGGUAGCCGGACUGAGAGGUUGAACGGCCACAUUGGGACUGAGACACGGCCCAGACUCCUACGGGAGGCAGCAGUGGGGGAUAUUGCACAAUGGGGGAAACCCUGAUGCAGCGACGCCGCGUGGAGGAAGAAGGUUUUCGGAUUGUAAACUCCUGUCGUUAGGGACAAUAAUGACGGUACCUAACAAGAAAGCACCGGCUAACUACGUG
Molecule: ribosomal RNA, 468 nt
Filed under: uncultured bacterium
Lineage: Bacteria
Description: partial 16S ribosomal RNA
Rfam family: Bacterial small subunit ribosomal RNA
Source: RNAcentral